GGCGAGUUAGCCAAGCGGUCUAAGGCGCCAGACUAAGGUUUCACAUGUCAAAUGUGAAGUUGCAAUCUGGUUCUUCGGAGCGUGGGUUCGAAUCCCACACUCGUCA
This is a non-coding RNA of Ceratobasidium sp. 428, 106 nucleotides long. Lineage: Eukaryota; Fungi; Basidiomycota; Agaricomycetes; Cantharellales; Ceratobasidiaceae. The record is from the annotation of a GenBank genome assembly.